UACGCAGGGCGCAAGCGUUAUCCGGAAUUAUUGGGCGUAAAGAGCUCGUAGGCGGUUUGUCGCGUCUGCCGUGAAAGUCCGGGGCUCAACUCCGGAUCUGCGGUGGGUACGGGCAGACUAGAGUGAUGUAGGGGAGACUGGAAUUCCUGGUGUAGCGGUGAAAUGCGCAGAUAUCAGGAGGAACACCGAUGGCGAAGGCAGGUCUCUGGGCAUUAACUGACGCUGAGGAGCGAAAGCGUGGGGAGCGAACAGG
RNAcentral lists this ribosomal RNA (253 nucleotides) under uncultured bacterium. RNAcentral describes it as "partial 16S ribosomal RNA". It matches the Rfam family "Bacterial small subunit ribosomal RNA", at positions 524 to 776 of the family's 1533-position model. The record is from RNAcentral.